GAUGAAGAACGUAGCGAAAUGCGAUAAGUAAUGUGAAUUGCAGAAUUCAGUGAAUCAUCGAAUCUUUGAACGCACAUUGCGCCCCCCAGUAUUCUGGCGGGCAUGCCUGUUCGAGCGUCAUUUCAACCAUCAAGCCCUGCUUGUGUUGGGGUCCUGCGGCUGCCCGCAGGCCCUGAAAACCAGUGGCGGGCUCGCUAGUCACACCGAGCGCAGUAGCACAUCUCGCUCAGGGCGUGCGGCGGGCUCCAGCCGUUAAAGCACCCACCUCUCGCAAGGUUGACCUCGGAUCAGGUAGGAAUACCCGCUGAACUUAAGCAUAUCAAUAAGCGGAGGA
RNAcentral lists this unclassified non-coding RNA (334 nucleotides) under soil metagenome. RNAcentral's name for it is "partial contains 5.8S ribosomal RNA, internal transcribed spacer 2, and large subunit ribosomal RNA". The stretch from base 1 to 120 matches the Rfam family "5.8S ribosomal RNA", at positions 35 to 154 of the family's 154-position model. The record is from RNAcentral.